GCGGCUUUAGCUCACUUGGGAGAGCGCCAGACUGAAGAUCCAACUUCAGGAAUAAACCUUGAACUUCGAACUUUCGAACUUUGAUAUCUGGAGGCACUGUGUUCGAUCCACAGAAGCCGCA
This is a non-coding RNA of Cadophora malorum, 121 nucleotides long. NCBI's taxonomy places the organism in Eukaryota, Fungi, Ascomycota, Leotiomycetes, Helotiales, Ploettnerulaceae. The record is from the annotation of a GenBank genome assembly.